GCUGAAAGGGCUCAGGUGGUAGAGCGCACGCUUGGUAAGGGUGAGGUCCCCAGUUCGACUCUGGGUAUCAGCACCA
Molecule: transfer RNA, 76 nt
Filed under: Klebsiella variicola
Lineage: Bacteria; Pseudomonadati; Pseudomonadota; Gammaproteobacteria; Enterobacterales; Enterobacteriaceae
Description: tRNA-Thr
Rfam family: tRNA
About the family: Transfer RNA (tRNA) molecules are approximately 80 nucleotides in length. Their secondary structure includes four short double-helical elements and three loops (D, anti-codon, and T loops).
Source: RNAcentral